AGCGAAGUGGCGCAGUGGGAGCGUGCGAGGCUCAUAACCUCGAGGUCGUUGGAUCGAAACCAACCUUCGCUA
Transfer RNA from Guillardia theta CCMP2712, 72 nucleotides. It matches the Rfam family "tRNA". Rfam says of the family: Transfer RNA (tRNA) molecules are approximately 80 nucleotides in length. Their secondary structure includes four short double-helical elements and three loops (D, anti-codon, and T loops). Further hydrogen bonds mediate the characteristic L-shaped molecular structure. tRNAs have two regions of fundamental functional importance: the anti-codon, which is responsible for specific mRNA codon recognition, and the 3' end, to which the tRNAs corresponding amino acid is attached (by aminoacyl-tRNA synthetases). tRNAs cope with the degeneracy of the genetic code in two manners: having more than one tRNA (with a specific anti-codon) for a particular amino acid; and 'wobble' base-pairing, i.e. permitting non-standard base-pairing at the 3rd anti-codon position. The record is from Rfam. NCBI's taxonomy places the organism in Eukaryota, Cryptophyceae, Pyrenomonadales, Geminigeraceae.